AACUGUAUUGAUUUCCUUCCACGGUGAGUCUCUGAGACCUAGUUUUGGCAGAAGGAAGUACCAGAGGGAGCUGAGCUGUUGAACGUUAUGUGCGACCAUGUAAUAACUGCAAUCGGAAGGGAAACACUCAGAGUCCUGGAGAAAGAGAAAUUUGCAUUUGUGGACACCUGCUGGGAGCUAGGCACUUUCGAAUAGUUCCUGUCACCUAACUUAAAAUUUCAUAUUCAAAGGACAGCUCUCUUGUUAGAAGGGGUCCAGGCUGAACACCCUCUUUUCUCUCAAUGAUCCCAGCUAUGACACAGUUUUCUGAUCUUCAACAUCCUGGAGGCCCAAGACUAUUCAAAUACGUCACAAAUAUCUCUAAUCACAUCUUGUGAUUAUGACUUGGAUAGAAGAUAAACAUUAUUUCCAUAAUGAUGAACAUAAGACAUUUGA
Molecule: long non-coding RNA, 435 nt
Filed under: Pan troglodytes (chimpanzee)
Lineage: Eukaryota; Metazoa; Chordata; Mammalia; Primates; Hominidae
Description: lincRNA
Source: RNAcentral